This 492-nucleotide ribosomal RNA is filed under the name uncultured bacterium. RNAcentral describes it as "partial 16S ribosomal RNA". It matches the Rfam family "Bacterial small subunit ribosomal RNA", at positions 29 to 507 of the family's 1533-position model. The record is from RNAcentral.
AGUGAACGCUGGCGGUAGGCCUAACACAUGCAAGUCGAACGGCAGCACAGUAAGAGCUUGCUCUUACGGGUGGCGAGUGGCGGACGGGUGAGGAAUACAUCGGAAUCUACUUUUUCGUGGGGGAUAACGUAGGGAAACUUACGCUAAUACCGCAUACGACCUACGGGUGAAGGCAGGGGAUCUUCGGACCUUGCGCGAUUGAAUGAGCCGAUGUCGGAUUAGCUAGUUGGCGGGGUAAAGGCCCACCAAGGCGACGAUCCGUAGCUGGUCUGAGAGGAUGAUCAGCCACACUGGAGCUGAGACACGGUCCAGACUCCUACGGGAGGCAGCAGUGGGGAAUAUUGGACAAAGGGCGCAAGCCUGAUCCAGCCAUACCGCGUGGGUGAAGAAGGCCUUCGGGUUGUAAAGCCCUUUUGUUGGGAAAGAAAAGCAGCAGGUUAAUACCCCGCUGUUCUGACGGUACCCAAAGAAUAAGCACCGGCUAACUUCGUG